Molecule: non-coding RNA, 485 nt
Organism: Cherax quadricarinatus
Lineage: Eukaryota; Metazoa; Arthropoda; Malacostraca; Decapoda; Parastacidae
Source: RefSeq, a predicted model, not a curated record
GCAAGGUUGGGGUGUGGGGGAAGUAGGGAAGGGGGAGCACCUGGCCUUCGCACAGGUGAACUCCUGGAACCACGGACCCGGGAUGGGGUGUGUGCAAGGUUGGGGUGUGGGGGUAGUGGGGAAGGGGGAGCACCUGGCCUUCACACAGGUGGACUCCGAAAAAGGACACUCACUGGUUGUCGAGGCAGACCCUGGGGAAGUGGGGAAGGGAGGAUGCCUGAGGGGACACAGGCGGACUACUUGACACGCGGACCUGGGAGAGACGAAAAAGGACACUCACUGGUUGUCGAGGCAGACCCUGGGGAAGUGGGGAAGGGAGGAUGCCUGAGGGGACACAGGCGGACUUACUGGACACGCGGACCUGGGAGAGACGAAAAAGGACACUCACCGGCCGUCGAGGCAGACCCUGGGGAAGUGGGGAAGGGAGGAUGCCUGAGGGGACACAGGCGGACUCCUGGACACGCGGACCUGGGAGAGACGAAAAA